Molecule: ribosomal RNA, 831 nt
Filed under: uncultured bacterium
Lineage: Bacteria
Description: bacterial SSU rRNA
Rfam family: Bacterial small subunit ribosomal RNA
Source: RNAcentral
AGUCGAACGGACUUAACUCAUUCUUUUAGAUUGAGAGCGGUUAGUGGCCGAUUGGUGAGUAACACGUAAGCAACCUGCCUAUCAGAGGGGAAUAACAGUGAGAAAUCAUUGCUAAUACCGCAUAAGCUAGUAGUAUCGCACGAUAUAGCUAGAAAAGGAGCAAUCCGCUGAUAGAUGGGCUUGCGUCUGAUUAGCUAGUUGGUGGGGUAACGGCCUACCAAGGCGACGAUCAGUAGCCGGACUGAGAGGUUGAACGGCCACAUUGGGACUGAGAUACGGCCCAGACUCCUACGGGAGGCAGCAGUCGGGAAUAUUGCGCAAUGGAGGAAACUCUGACGCAGUGACGCCGCGUAUAGGAAGAAGGUUUUCGGAUUGUAAACUAUUGUCGUGAGGGAAGAAAUUGACAGUACCUCAGGAGGAAGCUCCGGCUAACUAUGUGCCAGCAGCCGCGGUAAUACAUAGGGAGCAAGCGUUAUCCGGAUUUAUUGGGUGUAAAGGGUGCGUAGACGGGAAAUUAAGUUAGUUGUGAAAUCCCUCGGCUUAACUGAGGAACUGCAACUAAAACUGAUUUUCUUGAGUACUGGAGAGGAAAGUGGAAUUCCUAGUGUAGCGGUGAAAUGCGUAGAUAUUAGGAGGAACACCAGUGGCGAAGGCGACUUUCCGGACAGUAACUGACGUUGAGGCACGAAAGUGUGGGGAGCAAACAGGAUUAGAUACCCUGGUAGUCCACACUGUAAACGAUGGAUACUAGCUGUCGGAGGUUACCCCCUUCGGUGGCGCAGCUAACGCAUUAAGCACUCCGCCUGGGGAGUACGGUCGCAAGACUGAAAC